Taeniopygia guttata (zebra finch) is the source of this 12977-nucleotide non-coding RNA. The record is from RefSeq and is a predicted model, not a curated record. Lineage: Eukaryota; Metazoa; Chordata; Aves; Passeriformes; Estrildidae.
AGGGGGGUUCCUGACCCCCUGUCAGGGUCCCAGGCCUUCCAGGGCAGCCAGAGGGGAGCCCUGGAUUCCCACGUUCUAUCUGACCCUCCAUAUUUUAGUGGUGUGGUGACAGAGGUGUCAAUGGGGGUGUAUCGCAGUGCUGACCUGUGCUGGUCUAGGCUGGGCCCUGGUGAGCCCAGCUAACAGAAAUUCAGUGGUAGUGUUAAGAUACAUGCAAAUCUAUUCCUGCAGGUUUUUCUCAAUUGCAAUCCUAGCUGCUGUGGGGUUUUACUGAAAUUUCCUUCUGUUGCAGUACCUAACUUAAGUCUACUAAGGUGAAGUUUGUAGUCUGCUUUCUAGAUCACUUAAGACCCGUGGCAAAAUUAACUAUAUUGGUUUAGUUAAUUGUACUCAUCCAAGAAACAUUGGUAGCUCCCCUGGGUCACUACAGCAAUUUCUUUCAUGCUGUAAAAUGUUUACCUCUCUAGAGUAAAAAUGUCUAAGCUGUCGUUAUGUGACUCUACAGCUCCACACCAAUAAAGGCUACCUGUGCCUUUAUCUUUUUUAAGCUAGUAAGAAACUGCCAAAUUAACUGGAAUAGUUCCAGAGCCUGAUUUCUAAUUUUGUUUUCAUUGUUUUUGAUUUGAUGUUACAUGAUUGAUAGCAACUUUUUGUACUUUGGGAAUCUUGCUCUCUUUGACUGUACUGGUUAGCUUCUGCUUUUUUUCACAUAAGAAGUCAGCCAAGCUAAGUCUUUCCUUUUGAUUCAUGCAGGUUGUAAGGUCAGUUCUGGUAGGUAUGAUUUGCUAAUGAAUUCAUGCUCCAUUUCUCAGCUGGCUGGUUCUGCAAGUAGGCCUGGACAAAUACAUUGACAUUUGAAUUUAAGGUGACAUUGAAACUUAGGUUAAACAACAUUUGAGAAUAGAUUCAGAAAACCAAAAGAAAUAUUAAGUAGAAUAAAUAAAAACACUUUUAUAAUAAGAGCAUAUUAAAUAUGUAUAUGUGUAUGUAUAUAUAUCUUUAUGCUGGAGAUUACAAAGUUUAUAUAAUUUCAUAUAUGUCAGCAUCAAUCUGAGGGAUUCUUCUGUGCUCCAAAGAAAAGGGAAAAGUCAAGCACAAGCAAAGGAAGGGAAAGAGUGUCAUGUGGCAAGCAGCAUUUCCAGUGUAUUCAUUCCUAAUGUGGUAAGUGCCAGCACAGAGGUGACUUAGAGGGUCACUACUGGGUGUCAUUUCCCUGGGGCACACCAGGGGUGGGACAGAACACAGGCAGAACUGAGAACAUCUCUCCCCCUUUCACCACAAGCCACCCUAAUUGGGUCAUUUUAGCCAGGUGAAGUCUAGUCUGGAAUAACUUUCCUACUCCUCUAAUAGGGAGAAACUAGAAUUUGAAUCCUAGGCUGCAGCUGAUCCUUCAGCAUCCACCACAACUACGCCUGAAACUGGGAAUGGAUUCUAAAGGCAGGAUCUCUCUGUACUUAGUCUGUUUUUUACAAUUAUUGACUCAUCAUUGGGAAAUUUUUCUUUGGUUCAGAAAAGGUCAUUCCAACAGAUGAUACAAGGAUAUGGGCCAAGGCACUACCAGGGGCUUCAGCUUUGGCUGAAUUUUCCAGUUUUGAUUUGUACUUCCUGUGUGAGCGCACUCAAGGUAUUUCAUUCAUCCAUGUCUCCAUCCACUCUGAGGUGAAACACAAUGUGCCAUACUGCUUCAUUUUUACUGUGAUUUGUUUGUAAACAGCUCGGGGGAAAAAAAUCUGUCUCAUUAUUUCCUUUGGCAAUGUGUUCCCCAUCCUUAAAAUUAUUUUUGUCCUCUACAGUGUUAAUUGGAAGUGAUUAAUGAACUGGUGGCUUUUCAAAGGACACCAGCAUUGUGUGAUCCUUGGGAUGCAAAUGUGUUUCAGAGGUAGAAGGAAAAUAGGAAUAUCUGUGGGGCAAACUCCAAACUUUAUCUCAGCAUUCUCAGUGGUUCUCACCACUGAGAGAUUCUCAUAAUUCAUUUAGGGUACACCGGAAGUGUUGAGCUCACCCAAAGCACAAACUACAGGUUAAUUUCAAUGGUGAGAAGGCAGCAUCUCAUGGAUAGAACUGAAAAUUGUCUUUGACUCACUCCCUGAUCAGAGGACAUUCAAAACUACAUUUGCCACUUCCAAAGAAGGUUUCCUAAAUACCAUAUGGGAAUAAGAGUUAUUUUCUGCAUGUCAUAUUGAAGUCAUUUUCCUGCAGAAAGGAGAAAUCCAGAAAAUUUACUGAGUCAAAGAUAGAUGUAGAGAAAGGCAUGGAAAAAUAGGGACAUAAUGCUAGGGUGUAGAAACAGGACAACAGCAAAAGGGGACAGCAGUGCUUACUCUAUAGGAUGUUUCUGUAUUUUGUGUUAAAUGCAAAGUGAGUAAUAUAUGCUACUGUUAUCACCACCACUGUUACCUAGACAUAUUUUUUUCCUUUUGCCAGUCAUUAAAUGAAUGAAUGGCAUUAAAUUAAUGAAUGGCUGAAGAUAUGAAUGAAUUCUGAGAAAGAAAAUGAGAGGCUGUGCUUCAGGAACAGGCUCCAAACAGAAUGUCCCUCUUUGCUGCUGGUGCAUAGUGCCAGAGCAAGAGAAGAUUCCAUGUUUUUAGUUUGUUGCUACUUUCUAGUCCCCCCUACAGAGACCAGAAUCUGGACUCUGAACCCCCUACAGAUUGUGAGAAUCUGGCAUUUGAAAUGUAAAUGCUGUUGUGCCUAAUUUCUAACCACCAAGAUCUAUUGGGUUCUUAAUCCAUUCCAUGGAAUUAAAUUUUAAUCCCUUUACUCUCAGAUUUAAGGUAAUAAUCUGAGUUAUCUGGAAAAUCUCUGAUAUAAAACUCCCUUGAUUUUACAUAGAACACCCCACAGGUAAAGUUAUUUAACUUGCUCAAGAACACCUGGCCAAAAUUAAUUUUUUGGAAGAACUGGUAAUUAAAUUUCUUUGCAAUAAUUUGCCUGUAAAUAGGUAUGCAAAAAUCUUGAUUUUAGUGUCUCUGAAAUCACAGUAUUCAGUGUAGAUACAUUAAGGAAUUUCAGUGGAGCAUGAGAUAAGCUCCAAAAAUAUUGAAUCCUUUCGACUGCCACAUUUGUGCUAUCAUUCAGCAACUAAUUCCAUUUUUAAUGAUCUUGCCAAGAUGUUCAAACUACAUUAGUUAUGUCAAAUUCUUUGAUUGGUAUUUAAACUGUUUUCUCUUCCUUUCAAAAAGGUUGCCAGUUUAACUGCCCAAGUGUAAAACACAGUUGCAGAAGGGUUUAUGUGUGGUAAUGAGACACACUAAUCUUACCUGCUCAUUCAAUGUAGAUUCAGAUUUGUGUGUCUGAAAAUUGUAUAAUGUGUCUAAGAUUAGGAUAAUGACGUACUCUUGUUUGAAUUAUGCAGAAGUAGUGCAUUAAAAAAAAAUGCAUGGAUAUUAGUGUCAAAACUUCUUUUCUUUUAGUGGAUAAUAUCUUGAGGACAGGGGUCUUAGGUUCAAAUUAGGAUAAUUGCAACUAAUUGAAUGCAAUUUAAAAAGCAACAUCUUCUAGAAAUGGAGUCAGGUAAUGUGUAGUCCAAUACAUCUAGCAGAUGGAUUGUUGACUGCAAAGCAAUUAAUUUGAUGUUUCAGUGUCCUUUAUCUCUGUUCCCACACAGCAAAGUAAACAUGGAACUCCAAUGACACACAAUGUCAAGAAACAAGUAGGUGCUGGAAUUUUUUGGUGAUAUUAUCAUUCUCUGGCUUCUUUAAUCAAUCUUUACUCACAAGGUUCAAUUUUCAUUCCUUCUGGCACUUAACCACAAGCAAGACCAGAUCUCAUAUAAAUAGUAUUCAAACAAGCAUCUUACCAAAAUUAAAAGGUAGUUUUAAGCAUAGAAAUUAUGUAUAUUCAGUUGGUGUGGCAAGUCUUUAGUAGCAGGGGUGCCAGGGGUGACUUCUGACAGAAGAUGCUUAAAGAUUCCUGUGUCUGACAGAGCCAAUUCCAGCUGGCUUCAAGACCGUUGCCAGUGGUCGAGGCCAAGCCUGUCAGUAACAGUGGUAGUGUCUCACUGGUAAAAUACUUAAGAAGGCAGUAAAAAAACACUUCAAAACAACAACUGCAGUCAAAGAAGAGAGGAGUGAGAUUAUGUGAGAAACAACAUUGCAGACAGCAAGCUCAGUGAAGAAGGAGGGAGAGGGCUUUUUCCAGGAGCUGGAGCAGAGAUUUCCCUGCAGCCUGUGGUGCAGACCAUGGUGAGGCAGCUGUGCCCUGCAGUCCGUGUACUUCCACAGGGAGUAGAGAUCCACCUACAGCCUCUGGAGAAUCCCAUGCAGGAUCAGAUGGAUGCCCAAAGGAGAAGUCUACACUGGAGCAGGCUCCUGGCAGAACCUGUGGAUCCAUGGAGAGAGGAGCCUGUGCUGGAGCAAGCUUUCCGGCAGGUCUUGUAACUCCAUGGGGGACCAACACCGGAGCAGCCUGUUCCUGAAGGACUGCACUCCAUGGAAGAGUCCCAUGCUGGAGCAGGUCGUAAGGAACUGUGGCAAGAACUCACUUCGUGGAAGAUUGUCUUCUGUGAGAGGUAUCCCAUGCUGGAGCAGGGCAAGAUUGUGAGGAAUCCUCUCCCUGAGGAGGACAGAUUGGCAAAGACAACUUGUGAUGAACUGAACACAACCCCCAUUCCCCAGUCAGGAGUAAAGUUAAGGUUGGCAAGAGGGGAGAAGUUGGGGAAGGUGUUUUAAGAUUUGUUUUUAUUUCUCCUUAUCCUAUUCUAAUUUGAUUGGUAGUAGUCAUUUUUCCCCAAGUAAAGUUUUUUUUGCCCAUUACAGUAAAUGGUGAGUGAUCUCUCUCUGUCCUUAUUUUGACCCAUGAACAUUUUUGGUAUAUUCUCUCUCCUCUUGUCCAGCUGAGGUGGGAAGUGUUAGAGUGGUUUUAGUGGGCACCUGUUGUCUUUCCAGGGUCACCCCACCAGAAGCAAAUAUUCUGUUCAACCAGUUCUCAUUAACAAUAGCCUUGUUGGGAACCUAUCCAGUUUUAUUCAUUUUAAAGCAUAUCAGCUAUUGAUCAGAUUCAUUCAGUGAUCUGUGUCUUUAUGUGGCAGGAUACGCACUUGUGCAAACUCAUUAGAAAAUUUGGAAAUGAGCAACUAAGGCAAAGGGAUAGUGGCACUCCCUUCUGUGGUAUUGUUAUCCUUGUAUUUUCCCUCCUUGUCUGUAUGGAAAAGGACAAGCAGAAAGUGGUCUGGCCUAGCCCUGCCCAUGGCUUGAUUACAAGGAUUGUCUUUCUUAUGCUGGAUAUGUCAGAUCUCUUCUGGAACAAAAGGCUGAGUCUGGGUUUCCUAAGCACACCAGACUCAAGAGGACGGGAGUGUUAAACAAAGCUGUAGAGAGAGUAGGCAAUGAUACAGACCUGCUCAAUGUGCAGCUAUAUCUUUCUUUACAGACAAUGUUAUAUGCUGGGAUAAAUACUUGAAAUAGGCGUUAAAUAGGAGGCUGGCAGCAAUCAGUUGUCUUUGUCAAAAAAUAACAGCUCUCUGAGUUGAAAGGAGGAGGUUAGUUACCUGUUAAAGUAUCAGACUUAAGAAAAAUCACAGGAAGAAAAGGUGAGAUAAAAUUACAGAGGCAUGAAAAUAGCUGCUUUACCACUCAUUUCCCUCCUUCAAGGUAUAAACUCUACUGCAAUAAGUCCAUCGUUGAGAAAAGCUGGACUGUCUCUGUAAAGCCAGGUAGUUAUCAAAAGCUCUCCCACAACAGACCCUUUAACAACUCAACAAAGCAUAAUCAGAGAGGAAGCAAGAUAACCCACCACAAAUCAGCUGGUUUUAUGCUUCUUUUCCUGUCCCAUUAUUUGUGCCUGAGGACAUUUUAAAGACUGAUCACAGAGAUUUCUGGGAGAGGUGAGAAAGGUGCAAUAUCAGCAAGCCAGACAAGUGUACAGUUAUGUUUUGGAUGAAAAGCAGCAAGAUAUUGAGAUGUACUGAAUAUAUCCAACUGCAUAUGGUUCUUCUCUAAAUGGAAUGUUCUUACUUCUGACAUGUAGAGACCAAGAAAGAAGAUAUUUUGCAGAGCAAAAAAAUAUUCCUUUUUCUAGGGCAGAGUCUCUCAAAGAUGUCGUGAAUAUUCUCAGCAAAGGUCCAGGAUCCCAGGAGAUAAUUUGCAGCUCUUUAACAAGGAAAAGCUAUUUUUGUACAGAUUGCUAAUCAUAUUUCAAACUAGAACCACCUGCUGAAGACCGGCAGAAACAAAAGUGGAAGGAUUCUUAAUGUCCUAAUUUGGGAGGAGGUUAUAGCACAAUAUGAUUGAGAUCAAACUACCUCAUGCUUGAAAUCAAGAACAAACCACUCUUCUUUGACAAAAAAGCUCCUGGGAUUGGCUAAUAGAAGAUCUCUGCUGUGAAGCCCAUCUACAACAUGGCAGGGUCAUUGUUUCCCUCUGGCAAAGGAGAUUUUGUUUGCAACAGGUGAGGAUGAGUUGGUGGGAAUAGCAAGCUGUGCACAGUUGUAACUCCACCAACUUUGAGGGUCUUUGUCAGAGAACCUCACUCAGUGAUUCAUAUAAAAGAGGAUAAAAAACUGAUCUCUGGAAAGGAAGCACAGAAGACUUCUGAGCUUGUGCCAGACCCCAGUGAAAUCCAAGUGAGGGCUCAAGUGUUCCAUUGUUCUCCUUUCCUGUUAGAACAUGGAACACAAUGGGACAGCAGUCCUACUAAGAGCCUCUAGGGGCUACUGCAGUUCAAUAAAUCACAAUAUAUAAAAUUCAAACCCAGUUUUAAGUCUGAUAUGGACUGUGCUAAUCUCUGGUGUGCUAUCUUGGACUUCAGAAGAAUUACAUGCAAUGGAAUAUUGCCCACUGAGCCUUUGCUGACUGCUCUCACAUUGCCACGAAGGAUAAAGGAUCACAGUUGUCUUUUAUGUGAGAGUGCCUGAACUCCCAACAUCUCCAAGAGUGCAGGAAUGAAAGUGACUUCUUACCUCUGUCUUUUCAAUAGUUGAGAGGAAGCAUUGUCACUUUUGCAGCUUCCAGCUCAUGGUAUUUUCUGCUCGAAGAGAAGUUUAAGCAUAGCCAAAGGAUGUCUCUUUCACCUUAGAUAAUAUGCCACUUCUGUAAGGCCAAGAGGCUCAACAGGUAAAUGAGCAUGAAUUUUACAGAAUUCAGCUAUCUAAAUUAGACCAGUUGAGAUUCGGGUUGGAGAAAUCAAAAUCGAUUUGUUCUGGAAAGAAUGUACAGUCAACAAUUGACUGAAAGUUGCUUUUCUUGUAAAAGCAUAUCUUUGGCUUGAGGAUGUCAAAGAGUUUUCUUCUGAAUCUUUGUACUUUUUUGUGGUCCUAUUUGGAUGUUAAAUUCACCUUCACACUACUUAUUCACUUUCACUUGCACCUUGCUUUUAGACUGGGUGCUGAGCUGACAUGUCUACGGGAGGUGCCUGACACAUCCUAUGGCUGUCACUGAGCAAGACCGAGUGGCCUCUUUUUCUGCCCAUUGGUUUCUCAUACUUCAGUGACUCUCCUGUUCAUUUUUGGAAGGCCUUGGAGCUCUGCUUCACUUCCUACACAAACUAGCUUCUGCGGUUGAGUAGGCUGAAAGGUUUCGUGUCCAUUUUUCUUCCACAUUGCCCUCUCUUUAUGCAUUUUUCCUCCCUGUCCAGUGGAAACAAUUACUGAGUUAGGUGUUAGAAGUUUUCAAAUCCCAAAAAAUAAACAUGCAGGUAUGACUCCUUGACUUCUUUUCUUCUCCCAUUAAUAACACUAUCCCUUUCUCACUUAGUGGAAGACUUAUGCAUCAGCACUGCUGCCUGGCCAGUGUAUUUGGGAAAUGAAGUUUGGUGGAGAGGCAAAGUCCCCAACAAAGAAACAGAAUGGGAUCUGUGAAGUGCUGUGAUGGCUCUUCAGAAUUGAAGCAGUUUCUUUGUUUGCCUGCUCAGAUUUUCAAUGAAAAAUUGAAAUGUUCUGUGGGAAACAGAACCAUUUCAUGAAUAAUGCACCGCAACGGAAGGCUUGCCUCUCUGUUGCAAAACAGUUUGAUGUAAAACUUUCCAGUUUCUUCCAAUCAGGAAAAUGUAGAACUCUCUCUGUGCUGUCCUAGGGCUCAAAAGGCAACAUAGCUGUUGUCCUGUAUCUUCAGUAGCGAUAAAUGUUUGAUCAGCUUGUGUGCUUAAGAUAUAGGUAUGAGAGGAAGGAAACAAGGCCUAAUUUACUGGAAGUCCCCUUGAAUUCUCCUCAGAAAUAAUACAAUAUGGCAUUCUUUAGGCCAGGGAUAAGGCUUAACUUUUUCUUGCUUGUUUCUGUUGUAAGUUUGCUUUGCUCAAAGGCCUGUAUUUUUUCCACACAUUUGUUUUAAAAAUUCCAGCCUUAUUUCCUAUUCUGCCAUUGCACCAGCUUUGUCUCCUGUUUCCUAUAAAUGAUAUUUUUCACUGAGGUAGAUUAAGCUAUUCAAAUACCUUUAUGGUAAUGUGCUUCUAAACUACAUUCUGUAAUAAUUACUAAAGAUAUAUAUUGUAAAAAAUAAUUAUCCCAGUUUUGGUGUCAGAGAGAAAACUGAGACUGCCAGUUGCUACAUGGACAACCUCAGCUGAAAGGCCAACAAAAGCCACCACAGCUGGUUUGGGAAGUUUUGACUGCAUGUAUGUUAGUCUCUCUUCCAGCAAGAUAUAAGCUUUUAAUCCUCAGGACUUCCAGAGUCAGUGGACUCCUUUCCCUUAUCAUCUUCCCAUUUCUACCUGUCUAUGGGUAACAUUUGGUAGAGGUGGUACAUAAACCCUCUGGCUGCUUUCAUCAUUCUGUCAAAGGGACAAAAACAGUCAAAGUGCUGCAGCAAGAAAACAAAUGACCAAAUAGCUGUUGAAGCAGGAGGUUCCAACUCACUGGAGCUCAGCUUAUUACAGGCCAUAUGCCUGAGUGGCUCCUCUCACUGAGUGCUGCACCCAGAUACGGAAACAAGUGGGAAAGUGACUGUGGUUCAUCAGGCCUGGUUUUCUAUAACCAUAUGCAACUACUGAGAGCACAGAAAAUAAGAGCCUGAAAAGGCUGUGGGGCUAACAGGAGAGAGAAUCCUUGACAAAAUAUGACAUUAAUAUAUAAAUUUCCCAAAUAUUUAUACAACGAUCAUAAUAGGAAAUAAUAAUUUGGUAUUUCAAGCUCACAGUAGAUGAUCUUGUUUUAGUCCACAGGCUAUAUUCAUAGAUGAUGCAGCUUAAUAUAGGUAGGGAAAUAAAUGGGAAUGCUCUUCUACUUUUAAAUAUCUAGAUAUUUUUAAAUAUCAUGGGGUUGAAUUAAUAGUUUUUCUUUACAGAUACCAUUAGCUCAUGCCCUUUCAGCUAUGCUCAAUGUUUGCAGGGCUUGCUGUGUAAAUGAGGGACUAAGCAUAUGACUCAAGUCCUGAAUGACGGAUGUGUUACAGAGAUAGAAUGACAGAACUGCCAGAAUAAGGAGAACAGAAAGGGUGGAAGAAGUCUGUUUUUCACCUGGCAUUUCAGUUAUGUGUAUUUGGCAGAACUCUUUCCAAGAGCACUGAAGUGUCAGGCUCCAGCCAACCAUUUCUAUUUGGUGUUAGGAAGUCUUAAAGGGAAGCGGCCAUCAGCAACCAAGAGCUUGUUCUAGAGCUGCUAUAUUCCCCAUCCUCUCUGUAGAGUACUUAUUUCCUCACAGGAUUUAGUUGAUUAAAAACUUAUUCUAGAAGACAUGUUCCUGGGAAAGUGGCUUUGCUAAUUUGGAGAAAGUAUUCUUAGUCAGAAUAAUGACCAAUUCAAAAGGGUUUCCCCAAAAAAGAUGGUGUUUCAUGUGGCCAGCUCUGUGGCCUUUUAAUCCUCUAGAUUGGGGUUAUGUCAUCUGUCUAGUAGCUCUUUGCACACAUAAUUCACAAUAUUGUCAUAAUUCACUACAGCUACUUCCGUCCACCCACAUUUUGUAAAAAGGACAAUAACAAGCUUUAUUUCAUUUCAUUUCAUUUCAUUUCAUUUCAUUUCAUUUCAUUUCAUUUCAUUUCAUUUCAUUUCAUUUCAUUUCUACUCCUCCUCUAUGUGAAAGACUUCUAUCCUACCUUUGAAACCUUUCACCUUUAUUUUCCACUUUGGUGGCUUGUGCCUCCCCUUUUAUAUUGUCCAAUUGAAAGGGUUUUUUUUAUGGCUUGAGUACCUCGCUUAACUUUCCCAGCAGCACAUCAAGUAAGCAUGCCCUUUAUAACUAAAAUGAGCUGUACUGACACUACUGGUCUGCCUCUGGUUUGGUCUGAAACACUGUUACAUGAAAUGCUAGGAAGGUGUCUAGACAGAGUGCAGAGUAGGCACCACAUGCGCACUGUUAGAAGACAUUAGUAAUCCCUCAGUGUCAGUUGCUGUCCUCAUCUGUGUUAGUUCAAAGGGAAAAAAAAAGUAUGUGGCAGUGUUUUCACCUGCACAGGAUGGUUUAAACAGGCUUUCUUUUCAUGUAGCAAUAAGCAAAACUAGAUAUGCAAAGUUGAUUUCUUAGAAAUUAAAAAUAUUGUCUUACCAGUCCUAAUAAGUUUGCCAUCUUUUGCCUCUGUGUUGCAUAAAGGCCCAUUAAUUAUGCUGCUGUCUCUGAACAUGGUUCCAAAGAACAGGGUGACCACCUUUUUCAAUAAAAUUGCAGAUUUACAAUUUUCCAGCUCAGUGAAUUGCUGGUAUUUAAAUAUAUUGAAAGGCCAAUGCCAGACUGUUCUGCCUCCCUGUGCUGCAUUUUACCGGGAAGGAGAUGCUGGAAGGGUGCACGAGGAGAGAAAGAAAAGGAGCAGAGAAGAAAAAACACGGCGGGAAGGCAGGCAGAUAUGAUGAUAGGAAAAGCCUUUAAAAUCAGAAGGAAUUAGAGUGCCUGGAAGGACCUAAUGCUCAGAGUAAUGCUCCUGAGGGCACUUGAGUACUGCUGACAUUGGACAUCACUGGUGGAGGAAACAGCAUGGUAAUCUUCUGCUAACACUCAGCUGAAUCCCAGGAAACUGACUGAGAGGGUUUUAUAUUUGUUCUCUUUCACCAGGAAGAAGAACUGACUGAGCCCAACACAAGUGAUCUGUAAAGCCAGAAGGAGCCUUCUCCACUCGGAUGAUCACAGGUUAAUGUACCCCCACACUCACAAAAUGGAAAACUGGUGAAAAUAGAGAAGAGGAUCAUGAUAGUCUGAGUAGACAAUUCAGACAUUUCAUAGCAGUCCCCUGGACAAAGGCCGUAAAGUGGAGCCAUGCCAAGUCAAGAGACCUAAAGUUUUUUACAAGAACUCUUAUAUCAGCACUCAUGUCCCUCAGUUUUAACCUGCUGGAGUUAUGUAUAAUUAAUGUAGGGGUUGAGAAAGUCAUCUGACAUCAGCAUAAAGAAAAUGUUAAGCUUUCUUAGUUCCUAGUGCAUGAUUUUUAAGACAUUUUAAUCCCCUCCCUUUCAAGUGUGGAUUUACUGGGGAGGUCAAGGGGUCAUUAACACUUCCCCUGCUCCUCUACCAUUAACAGGCAAACUCAUCAAGGACUGGUGUUAGAUAGUAUUAUUUCAUUAAUGUACAUACCUGUACUUGGGUUUUUUCCUUCAGCCAAGUCCUCAUCAUCCUAUUUCUUUAACAGUAUUUGAAGCUUAGAAAUUAUCUUUCAUUUAAAUAUUAUCAGCUUAAAACAGACCUUACUGUUUUUAGAUAUUGCAGAUGUUCUGGGAGGAAGAGAGGAGGCUUGCCCAAAAUUGUUUUGCUUGCUAUUGCAAGGACCAGAGCCACAAUGGAGAAGAUGUUUCACCCUGUUGCACCAAUGACUGUACAUCGCUCUUUGGGUAGUAGAGAGGGGCAAGAUCAUAACUAGGCAACCUCUUGUUGGAGACUGACAAAACAGAUGAAACUAAAAUGGGAUAACUGGCACUGUAUCAAAUGUGGUAAAGCAAGGAUAAUUCCUCUGCCUGCUGUAGAGGCAGGAUGAUACCUGCCUACAUAUCUCUUUUUGAAAGUCACUUAAGGAUCCACUGUUUUUUACAGCCAAAUACCCCUCCAUAUGUAAAUUUAUUUAGUCAGUGUCAUUUUAUGGUUAUGUACACAAAGGCAGAAGAGCAUGACAUCACUAAGUGCACCCUCAGACACCAAGUAGAAUGGUAUGGUUGACACACCUGAAGGAAGGGAUGCCAGGAGGGACCUGGACAAGUGCAAAAAGUGGUUGCAUAGUAAUCUCAUGAGAUUUAAGAAGACUAAGUGCAUGGUAUGCACAUGGAUCAGGGCAACCCGUACUAUCAAUACAGACUGGGGAUGAACAGAUCAAAAGCCGGCCAAGAGGGGCUUGGGGGUGCUGGUGGAUGAGAGGCUGGACAUGGAAAAUGUGCACUUGCAGCCCAGAAAACCAAUCAUACCCUGGGCUGCAUCCAAAGCAGGAAGGGGAGGAGCCAAGCAUUUUUACCUAGGUAUAAUCUGAGAUUUAGAAAUACCACAGUCAACCUUUUCCCACUGGAUUCCCAGAGAAGAAGCCUUUUUGCCAGUGGAUUCCCAGAAGAAGACCAGGCCCAUCUACACCACCACCAGACCUUCAGAAGAAAAUUACACUCUUCUACAAGUUCAUUGUUUCAACAGAACCGCAUCUGUCACUAUAGGAGGACGGCAGCCACCAUUCAAUCAGACUGCUACCAACACCCUGACCAACAGGGUGUCAGGUUGUAUUCUGACUCUGUCAGUAUUGUUUUGUAUUUCUGCAUUUUUAUUUUUACUUUUAAGUUUCCUGAUAAAGAACUGCUAUUCUUACUCCCAUAUCUUUGCCUUCGAGCCCUUUAAUUCCAAAAUUAUAGUAAUUUGGAGGGAGGGUGUUUACAUUUUCCAUUUCAAGAGAAGUUCCUGCCUUCCUUAGCAGACACCUGUCUUUUCAAACCAAGACAACGGAUUUCCCAGAGAAAUUGUUAAUGUCCCAGGAAGUGUUCAAGGCCAGGUUGGAUGGGGCUUUGAGCAAUCUGGUCUAGUGAAAGGUGUCCCUGCCCAUGACAGGAGGGUUGGAGCGGGAUGAUUGUUAAGGUCUCUUCCAACCCAAACCAUUCAAUGAUUCUGUGAUUCUACGAUACUAUGACAUGGAGCCUAUUAAAGCCAGUAAAGCAUU